CAGCAGCCGCGGUAAUACGUAGGGUGCAAGCGUUAAUCGGAAUUACUGGGCGUAAAGCGUGCGCAGGCGGUUGUGUAAGACAGGUGUGAAAUCCCCGGGCUUAACCUGGGAACUGCGCUUGUGACUGCACAGCUAGAGUAUGGCAGAGGGGGGCGGAAUUCCACGUGUAGCAGUGAAAUGCGUAGAGAUGUGGAGGAACACCGAUGGCGAAGGCAGCCCCCUGGGCCAAUACUGACGCUCAUGCACGAAAGCGUAGGGAGCAAACAGGAUUAGAUACCCCUGUAGUCCCUGUCUCUUAUAC
This 301-nucleotide ribosomal RNA is filed under the name uncultured bacterium. Its description in RNAcentral is "partial 16S ribosomal RNA". It matches the Rfam family "Bacterial small subunit ribosomal RNA", at positions 509 to 807 of the family's 1533-position model. The record is from RNAcentral.